Molecule: ribosomal RNA, 1377 nt
Filed under: Rhizopus arrhizus
Lineage: Eukaryota; Fungi; Mucoromycota; Mucoromycetes; Mucorales; Rhizopodaceae
Description: SSU rRNA
Rfam family: Eukaryotic small subunit ribosomal RNA
Source: RNAcentral
GUGCUUGUCCUAAGGUAUAAAUAACUUUAUAUUGUGAAACUGCGAAUGGCUCAUUAAAUCAGUUAUGAUCUACGUGACAAAUUCUUUACUACUUGGAUAACCGUGGUAAUUCUAGAGCUAAUACAUGCAAAAAAGCCCUGACUUACGAAGGGGUGCACUUAUUAGAUAAAACCAACGCGGGGUAAAACCUGUUUCUUGGUGAAUCAUAAUAAUUAAGCGGAUCGCAUGGCCUUGUGCCGGCGACGGUCCACUCGAUUUUCUGCCCUAUCAUGGUUGAGAUUGUAAGAUAGAGGCUUACAAUGCCUACAACGGGUAACGGGGAAUUAGGGUUCGAUUCCGGAGAGGGAGCCUGAGAAACGGCUACCACAUCCAAGGAAGGCAGCAGGCGCGCAAAUUACCCAAUCCCGACACGGGGAGGUAGUGACAAUACAUAACAAUGCAGGGCCUUUAAGGUCUUGCAAUUGGAAUGAGUACAAUUUAAAUCCCUUAACGAGGAUCAAUUGGAGGGCAAGUCUGGUGCCAGCAGCCGCGGUAAUUCCAGCUCCAAUAGCGUAUAUUAAAGUUGUUGCAGUUAAAACGUCCGUAGUCAAACUUUAGUCUUACCGGCGUAGUGGCCUGGUCUUCAUUGACCAAGCUCAUUGCUGCCGGAGACUCCAUGUCCAUUGACUCCUAGUCCUCGUGGCUAGGGUUUUCUGGACAAUUACCAUGAGCAAAUCAGAGUGUUUAAAGCAGGCUUUUAAGCUUGAAUGUGUUAGCAUGGAAUAAUGAAAUAUGACUUUAGUCCUAUUUUCGUUGGUUUAGGUACUUCAGUAAUGAUGAAUAGAAACGGUUAGGGGCAUUUGUAUUUGGUCGCUAGAGGUGAAAUUCUUGGAUUGACCGAAGACAAACUACUGCGAAAGCAUUUGACCCGGGACGUUUUCAUUGAUCAAGGUCUAAAGUUAAGGGAUCGAAGACGAUUAGAUACCGUCGUAGUCUUAACCACAAACUAUGCCGACUAGAGAUUGGGCGUGUUUAUUAUGACUCGCUCAGCAUCUUAGCGAAAGUAAAGUUUUUGGGUUCUGGGGGGAGUAUGGGACGCAAGGCUGAAACUUAAAGGAAUUGACGGAAGGGCACCACCAGGAGUGGAGCCUGCGGCUUAAUUUGACUCAACACGGGGAAACUCACCAGGUCCAGACAUAGUAAGGAUUGACAGAUUGAAAGCUCUUUCUAGAUUCUAUGGGUGGUGGUGCAUGGCCGUUCUUAGUUCGUGGAGUGAUUUGUCUGGUUAAUUCCGAUAACGAACGAGACCUUAUUCUGCUAAUUAGACAGGCUAACUCUUUCGGGUUGGUUUAUAUUUAAUAUUUAACUGGCUUCACAGAGAGACUAUCGGUACUACGA